RNAcentral lists this ribosomal RNA (304 nucleotides) under uncultured bacterium. RNAcentral's name for it is "partial 16S ribosomal RNA". It matches the Rfam family "Bacterial small subunit ribosomal RNA", at positions 506 to 809 of the family's 1533-position model. The record is from RNAcentral.
CAGCAGUAGCCGCGGGAAUACAGAGGGUGCGAGCGUUAAUCGGAUUUACUGGGCGUAAAGCGUGCGUAGGCGGCUUCUUAAGUCGGAUGUGAAAUCCCUGAGCUUAACUUAGGAAUUGCAUUCGAUACUGGGAAGCUAGAGUAUGGGAGAGGAUGGUAGAAUUCCAGGUGUAGCGGUGAAAUGCGUAGAGAUCUGGAGGAAUACCGAUGGCGAAGGCAGCCAUCUGGCCUAAUACUGACGCUGAGGUACGAAAGCAUGGGGAGCAAACAGGAUUAGAUACCCCCGUAGUCCCUGUCUCUUAUAA